GCAAGCGUGGCCGAGUGGUUAAGGCGCUACAUUUAGGCUGUAGUGGGCAACCGCGCGCGUUCGAUCGCGCCGCUUGCA
Molecule: transfer RNA, 78 nt
Filed under: Penicillium camemberti FM 013
Lineage: Eukaryota; Fungi; Ascomycota; Eurotiomycetes; Eurotiales; Aspergillaceae
Description: tRNA-Leu (TAG) (tRNA-Leu-TAG-2-1)
Rfam family: tRNA
About the family: Transfer RNA (tRNA) molecules are approximately 80 nucleotides in length.
Source: RNAcentral